This 8087-nucleotide long non-coding RNA is filed under the name Phaseolus vulgaris (common bean). RNAcentral's name for it is "long non-coding RNA (PVUL_LNC000010)". The record is from RNAcentral. Lineage: Eukaryota; Viridiplantae; Streptophyta; Magnoliopsida; Fabales; Fabaceae.
UCUCCUAGUUUAAUUAAACUUUUUAGAUCAAGUCACUAUUGUAGCAAUUCAUUUUCCUACUCUACUAUGAUUUUCUUUGUAAUUUAUUAAAUUAAUUUAAAAAAAAAACUAUAUAUUUUUAUCACAGACAGUGUUGAUAACAAGACAUCAGUAUUUUUGUUCCUCAUUACAACCGCACCUUGCUGCUGAAUAUAGCAACAUACAAGUGUUAUUUAGGCAAGCAUUUCAUACAAUGCAACAUCAUGUAAUAAACAAAAGAAGAAUUAUAACAUGAUAAAGAAUAAGAUGGAGAACAAAAUGAGGAAAAAUCCACAGCCAAAAAUGUAAAGUAUCCUUAAAAGUAUGGAAAUAUAUGGCAAGAACAACAUUAAUGAUUAUUCCAACAUAUAUAUUUAUAGAGUAGAUCUAAAGAUCAAUACAAUUCAGUUUGUCAUUUGAUGUCACUAGCCCUUUGGUGUUUUGGAAUAGUCAAAAUAGCAACCAAACAGUAUGACAAAGAUGAUGAGUAAAAUGCAAAAAUCAGAAUGAAGUAAUUCACAAGUAAUCUCAAACACUUCAUAAUAUUAAAUUUACAAAGGUUUAUUCACAGUAUGGAGUAAUAGUCUUUUUCCAUUAAAUCCUAAUAGUAACAAUUGUUGCCUUCUUUACCAAACUUCAAACCUACUAUCAAUGUAUUCAACAGACAUGAAUAACACGAGUUGCAACAAUUGUAUUGUUGAUAAAUACUCUAGCAAUAGACAUUCUUUAAUUCAUAAUUUUGAACAGGGUGAAAAUUCUACCAUAAACAAUGGACAUUCUUUCAAAAAAAUUCUAAGAGAGAAGGAAAGUCUCUUCCUAAAUUUUUAUAUGCGGUCAUUCCUUACACUUAUUCAUGUCUUCAAAUUUAGGAAAUGUCAAUGACAUGAAUGGCGCUAUAACCAUGAUGUCAUAUAAUUAUGUAUCAGUGUACAUCAAUUAAGAGAAGACAACUAUCUUAAAGAAGGGAGAGUUGUGCAAUUACUUCACCCUCGGAUAAUCUAAUUUCAUGAAGGUUUAGAUGGUCCAGAUGAACCAGUUAGCUCACAUCAUUCGACAAAUGCUAAAAUUUUUGACAACCGCCCAACAGAAGACUUUCUAAGUUCAUCAAAGAAUCGAGAAACUUAGCAAUUAAUGUGUAAGAAAGGUUCAAAUAUUGAACAUGUUUUAUCUUUAGUAUUGAAUCUGGAAGACUGGACAACUUAAGCUUUGCUAGAGAAAAAAUGUUCUCACAUGUUUCAAUAAUUGCUCUAAUGAAUCAAAACCCAAGUCUAAUACUUACCUAUAUCAUAAAAUAAAUAUAUAAUAUUUUCUUAAGAUACAUUAAAAAUUGAAAAUCCAUUUAUGCAUAACUGAAUUUUUAAGCCAUCGUUUGUGCAAACCCAUGCUUAAUGUCAAGAAUUAAAAGACUAGAAACCUCAUUUUCUUCCAUUAAGUAUAUUGAGACUAACUUUUUAAUACAUUAUCAGCAUUUUUAAAACAUGGAGAAGAAUCUUAUUAAUUAUCACCUCUAUAAAAAGCAAGAUUCCAUGUACGACGUCAAAACGAAUAUAAGAAGUGAUAACGAAGGUCUUGGUAUAUCUCAUUAGCAGGCUCGUUUGUCUACUAAGUAUAAGUGAUAACCAAUGACAUGGUAUCUAAGACGUGGAUGCAUACUAUGAAAUAUAAGUUAAGGAGGCAUAGAGAGCUGCAACACUUGAAUGACAUGACAUUACCAUUAGAUAUCUCACGCAAGGAACUCAUUAUUCGAUAUAUCAUCUAAUACAAUGAGGAAUCUUCUAUCAUGUAUUAUUUCUUUUAAUUGGAUCUGGAGUAGAUCCAAAUAUGUUAUAUUACGUUUUCAUUGUCUAAGCCUAUUAUGUAAUAAGAAUUCUUUUCUAAUUCUUACAUUGUCAAACUCAGUGUCAUAUACUUCAAAUUCAUCCAUAAAAGAAGUCGUUGAUACAAACAAGGCGGGCAACUUGUCUAUAAUAUUUACACGACAAAACAGAUCUUUUCGAGCAUCCUUGAGUGCAUUCCAUUUGAAUUUAAAACAAUUUAGAUCUUCUAAUUACUCACGAAAGCAUGAGACAAUUCUUUUUUUUUUACACGUUUAAAACUUUUAGGCUUAGAAACAACAUUCUCAACUAAGUAUGCCUCUGAGCAUGCUCACUAACGCCAAAGAAUAAAAAUGUUAUUAUUAAGUUUGAAAGGAGUUGUAAAUGACGUAGAAGAAAAAGAAUUGGUUAAUGCAUUCGUGAGUACUUGGCUAGAAAAUCUAAAACAUGUAUGAUAUACACAAAAUAUUGGAAAUUGAGUCUAACUAGUUCGGCAAUGUAUUCUCUUCUUUAAAUUCAAAUGAGAUACACUCAAGGAUGAUUAAAAUAGUAUAUCAAUAGUAACAAUCCAAUAAAAAUUCUAUUUUGUCUUGUAAAUAUUAUAGAUGAGCUGGUUUUAGGUUGAUGAAUCUAAAGUAUAUGGGAGAAAAAGUAAACAAAGAAAAAACAUCAUGAGUUGGUUUUAGAAGAAUUCUUAUUACAAAACCAAAGAAAAAGUAAUUUCUAUAUUUGUUAUUGUUGGUGUGCCGGGAAUUGGAAAAAACAUCAUUAUUUCAAUUUUGUUCAAUGAUAACGAUGUUAAGAUCAUGAGCUUAUAUCUCACACCACAGAGAAAAGUUUUGUUGGAGAUCACAAAAAAUAUUUUAUUUAUGUGUAUGACAAAUUAUGAGUGUCACGUCAUUCAAGUGUUGCAGCUUUUUAUGCCUCCUUAAUUAGUUAUAUUUCAUACCUGUCAUUUGAAGAUAAUUGCUUAUAAUACGCUGAACAUUAUACAUGAAAUCUUGCUUUGAAUAUUGUUCUACAUUUCCUUGUGGAUUUAAGAUAAAGAGAUGGCAAAUAAUAAGAUUAUGGAAGAUAAAAGGUCUUUUCGAAUGUUUUGAAAAUGCUGAAAUGAUUAAAGAGAUAAAAAAAUGUAUCAAAAAGUUAGUCUCAAUAUUCAUAAUGAGAGAAGAUGAGGGUUCUAGCCUUCUAAUUCUUGACAUUGUGGAUGGAUUUGCAUAGAUGAUGGCUGAAUUUUCAUUUGUUGAAUGUAUCUCAAAAAAUAUCAUAUAUUUAUCCUAUGAUAUAGGUAAGUAUUAGAUUUUGAUAGAUUUUAGUUGAUUAGAGCAAUUGAGAACCCUGUUGACAUUUGAUGUUUUAAGCAUGAUUUCCUGUCUAAAGAACCAUGCUAACUUUUCUUGAAAUUGAAAUGUGUGUUAUAACAUUUUUCUUCUAACAAAGUUUAAGUUGCCUAGUCUUUUCAGAUUCAAUAAUAAAAUUAAAGCAUGUUCAAUAUUUGAACCUCUCAUACACAUAUAAUUGAUAAGUUUCCCGAUUUCAAUAUUUGAACCUCUCAUACAAUAAAAGAGGUUUUUGUUAUGGAGUGGCAAAAUUUUCAAUAUUUGUCGAAUGAUACGUGAGCAAACUUGUUCAUCUAGACUACCUAAACCUAAAUCAAUCUCAUUAUGUAAGCUCUCACAAUUUAUAUGCAUUAAUAAUGAUUUUAAUAUUGAUGUGUUGGAAGUAUUUCUAAGUCUUCGUGUUUCAUUAUCAAUUAUUAAUUUAAAAGAGAUGGUUGAGACCAAUGAUGCUUAUAGAACAUAGUAAAAAAACAAAAAAACACCUUAAAAAAUUGGAGUUUAUCUACACAACAACAAUGCAUCAUCAAAACAUACACAUACAGAAAGAUGCAAAUGUGCUUAAAAAGUUACAGUCACACAAAUAUUUGAAAGAAAAGAUUGAAAACUUUAACGAUGACUUAUUUCAUUCUUGGCUGCAAAAUGAUUUAUUGUCUCAAUUAGUCAUUUUCGAAAUUAUUAAAUGAAUAAAUUGCACAACUCUCCCCUCUUUUUGAUAGUUGUCUUUCCUUAAUCGAUUGUAUUUAAACAAUUUUACUGAAUUGGAGUCCAUGGUACAUAACUGUAUAGAAGUAUGGUUAUACCGUCGUACUCAUCUAUCAGAUCAAUUGAUUAUAAAUGUAAUAUUACUUAUAAGCAAUACCAACGCCCAUUCAAGGAAUUCGAUCAUGUAAUAUUCAUCUUGACAAGCAAUUAUCUUCAUACUAUGAUAAAAUAUGUAUAAAAAGCACAAGGGCUGUAGCUCAGUUAGGUAGAGGUCGUUGACAUUUCCUAUAUUCUUAACCUGAACAAGUGUAAGGAAUGAUUACAUAAAAAAUUUGAAGGAGGAGACUUUCCUAUCUUUCAGAACUUUGUUUGGAAAAAAAAUAUCCAUUCCUUAUCUUAAAACUUGCAACUAAUCUAAAUUAUGGAUUAAAGAAUUAAAGAAAGUUCACUGCUAGAGGAUUCAUCGAUAAUCAAAUAGUAGGGUAGAAAUUUGGUCAAGAAGUCUAUCAAAUAAUAUGUUAACCUUUUCAGGUCAGAUUGAUACACUUAUUAUUAUUUCGAAAUUUCACUUAUCAUUAAUGUGGCUGGAAGGCUAAGACUAUUAUAUAUUAUUAAGAUCCAAUAAAAAAAGAGUAUUACUCCAUAGUAUGAAGAAAUCUUUCUAAAUUUCAAAUUUGAUAUUAUGAAGUGUUUGAGAGAUUACUUGCGAAUUAUACUAUCUUGAUAUCUGCAUUUGACUCAUUACUUUUGUCAUAGUGUUUGUUUGCUUAUUUUACUCUUCCAAACACUAAAGACCAAUUAUUAGAACAUUGACAACACUUUUGUGGAUGUGACAUCAGCAGUUUGUGGUUUGUUUGCCACCAACUUAAAUAAUAGAAGACAUGUGACAAACUUUCAAACAGAUAUAUUGUGAUGUAUACAUUUUACUUUAUAAAAAACAUAUGUUGAAAUAACCAUUCGUAUUUUUAAGGGUACUUCACAUUAUCACAUCAAUAAUGUUAUAAUUCAUAAAAUAAUUCUUCUAUUUAUUACAUGGUGUCAGUAGCAAAUUAUAGGCUGCAUGUUAAUGUAUGUAACUACUAGACCGUCUAGUUUGACGAUUUACUGUGAUUAGAAAUUCAGAUUUAACAGAAAUAACACUUGGCAUGUUUCUAUAUUCAACAAGGUUUAGUUGAAAAGAAAUAAAAAAUGUCGUACAAGAACAAAAAAUAUUGUUGUAAGUUCUCUCAGUAAAUUUUUUUUAUUAACAUUAAUUCGAAAAAUUUCAAAGAAAAAUCAUAAAAGAAGUAAGAAAAUAAAUUGGUGCAUUAGUGAGUUGAUCUAAAAAAAGUCUAUAAAACGAGCUAGAUUAGAAGAUGUGACUUAAAUUAAAUUAAUUUAUUUUUCUUAUUCACAUAACUCUCUUAUUUCUUAUGUGACUUGUAAAAGUUAUUGGCAAUCUUAUUUUCUUUUAUACUGACCUUGUACAUCUUUAUUAGUAAUUCUAUUUAUGUUUAAUUUGUUGCCCCAGUUACUUUUGGAUGAGUUUUGAGAGAAAAAAAAUAUCAUUUCCCAUACAUAUAGUAUUUUUAAAUGAUAUUGUAGUCUCUUGCAAUAUCUUGUAUAUUGCAUGGGAUACUAAGUUAGUUUUAUUUCAUUCUUUUUAUUAUAUUAAUAUUUAUAUUUUAUGACUGGUGAUUUUUAUGGUUAUUUUUAGUUUUAUAUUAAACUAUUGUGUCGUUUUUAAAUGUUAUGAUGGCCUUUCUUUUUCGGUUGAUUAAGGGCACACCAAUUCUUAUAUAAAGUUACUGUAUUUCUUUAUCUAUAAUUUUUUAAGGUUUUGUUCUUACUUUGUUAUUUUAUUAUUGUUUGAUUCAUUGUUUUUGCUUGAGUUUCAUUUUGAAAAAAACCUUCUUUAACAUACAAUGACUAUCAUGACUUAAAAAUUUCAAGUAAUAAGUAGUAGAAAUCAUGUACAAAUUACAUUCUUUUUGCCUGCACAUUAGGCAUCACAACAAGUUUAAUAAGAUCUAUCAACUAGAGGAAUGCACAAAUUACCAUUAUAAAGCCAUUUUAAAUGUUGAGAGACACAUUAUUGAGAAGGUAGUGCGUUUAGGUUUGUUUGAAAUGUUACAUAAAGUAAUAGAUUUAAAAAUAACUAAGUAAAGCUAAAAUUAUAAGUUCACCUUAUUAUCAUCUUAUAUUUGGAUGCAUUGGUAUUGCUUUAAAUUUGGUUCCAAUCUUUUGAUAAUAUUAUUUAAGCUACAAAUUAUUAUUUCAAACUUGGAAAGAAAAUUAGUUAGACCUCAGUCCAGACCAAAAACAUUGGCAAAAAAUUAUUUGGGUACCCUGUAGGGUUUAGGAUUUAGGGUAGGACUUUGAUGUGCAAAUCAUUAUGGUGUUAGGACGAGUGAAAAUGAGAAGAGGGUCCAAUGAGCAGUGUUUGGACCUACCCUUUUGUUUUUCACUCAUCUGUUUUUCUAUAGAGUUCAGCAUCUUUGGUUCUCACUGGUGUAAUAACAAGCUUGAAAAUAGGAAAAUCAGACAUUGCUAAAGUAUGGAGUUUCCAAUCAAUAGAAUAGAAUGUGGAAAGAUUUCAGCACUUGAAACUCUAACCAAACAAAUAAGGAUCAAUGAGACUUACACUACAGAGCAGAGCAAUGUUCUAUUGGAUAGAAUUUGUUCCAUGAUCCGAGUUAACGUUUCCACAUUCCCUUACCGAGUAACUCGGUUAGUAAACUCGGUUUUUGAGUUCAAGUAAAAGAAAACGGUGUCAUUCUGAAUGGGGAAAACUAAAUGAAAUAAACUGACCUUUAGGUUUCGUUUAGGGUUUUGGUUUCACUUUGCUUAUUCUGUGGAGUGCCUGUUUCAAGAUACCCAAUUUAUUGUCAAAGAUGAAAACAAAUAAAUGAAAUUGAAAUACAAAUAAAACUAUGUGGUUCACUAAGAUGAUAGAGAUAACCAGACCUACUAGAUCAGGAUUUGAGUGUUCUUUAUUCUCCAGGAUCUGAGUUAAAAAGAUUAGAAAAAGAAAGAAAACAAAGAUAGAUUGAAUUUAUUGUGAAAAUCUCAAUAUGUUACAUUUAAAUUUUUAGAAUAAAAUUCUAAAGGAAAUAAUGUUAUUUAUCUUGAAAUUUAUUAAUUCUUUGUCUUAAAAAACAUUAAAAUGAUUUUUGAAGAAGCUAAAAGGAGACUUUAUCUUCCUUCACGCCAAUAAUUUCUAACUACACCAUCAUAAUUUUUAAAAUAAUCGUUUUUUGAACAAGUUUUUAGAAACAGCUCUUUUUAAAAUUAGAAAAACAAAUAUAUAAAAUUUAUACUUUCCUCCUAAAUAAACUUAAUUUACUCUAUCUCUUUAUCAGAUAUUUCGUUAUUGUAUAUAAAGUGUUAUUUAUUGUUUACUGAUGUAGCAAAUAGAGAUUAGUGAAAAAUGAUUAGUUUCAAAGAUUUUUCCUUUACUUAAAAUCAUCCUCAAUUUGCAUUAACUCAUACGACAAUGCUACCCAAAUGAAUAAACAUUGUCCAUCACUUCGUAUGUAGAUAAUAACAAAGAUGUAUUGGUCAAAUCUGGUUUUAUGACCAACUUGGUCAUUAAUCAGACAAAAUAUUAUUACUUUAAUUUUCUUAUAUAUAAUUAGUAUUUUAAAAAGGAGAUUCGUUCUUAAGUUUAUUUGUAAGGUGAACACGAGAUUAUUUAAAUUACAGUUAAAAGAAUAAAAAAAAAAUUAAUUUAAUUUAAGUUACAUCUUCUCUUAGUCUAACUAAACUUUUUAGAUCAAGUCACUAUUGUAGCAAUUCAUUUUCCAGUCUACUAUGAUUUUCUUUGUAAUUUAUUAAAUUAAUGUUAAAAAAAAUCACUAUUUAUUUUUAUCACAGAGAGUGUUGACAACAAGACAUCAGUAUUUUUGUUCCUCAUUUCUUUACAACUGCACCUUUCUUUAGGCAAGCAUUUCAUACAAUGCAACUUAUAAUUUUAUAUCAACAUUAUAUAAUAAACAAAAGAAGAAUUAUAACACGAUAAAGAAUAAGAUGAUGAGAAAAUGAUGAUGAGAAAAUGCAAAAAUUAGAAUGAAGUAAUUCACAAGUAAUCUCAAACACUUCAUAAUAUCAAAUUUAGACAAGUUUAUUCACACGAGUAAUAGUUUUUUUCCAUUGAAUCCUAAUAAUAUAUAAUUGUCUUACCUUUCAGCUUCAAUAAUGACUUAAAGAAUGUAUCAAUCUGACUUAAAGAAUG